CUCUUUCAUAAAUAAUAGAGCUAUCCAUUAUUUUACAUUUUAUUGAUUGGAAAAAUUACUGCAUGCUAUCAUUCCGCAGCCCACACUACAGAGAACAGAUUAGCCAUUAUUAUCUUUCUCAUAAGUAAUCAGAGGAAUCAUGCAUACGAGUUAAAAAAAAUAAACUCGAUCACCUUACAAUAGAAUUUUUUUAAAAAUAUAUAAAUAAAUAAUAAAAAAACAAAAAUAAAAAACACUUAUCCCAUGCCAUUUAUAAGCCAAAAUUCACUCAAGAGGCUAUGAUCACCCAACAAGCAGACACUCCAUAACCUUGAAAUGAAAAUUAUAAUAACAAACAUGGCACUCUAACCAAACCCGUAUAAUUUUUUAAGUGAAAAAUCCCCUCAGAGACUAAGAUCGCUUGAGAAGCACAAAACCCACAAAGAUAGAAAGGAGAAGGAAGAAAACUGCAGCCAAAAUGUUGAAGUUUAUUGAUUUGAUAUUUUCCCUGCUAUUAUCCACACCACUCGUGUCGAUCAUUCUGUUCUUCUCUACAGAAAAGCUAGAUGCAGAAUGACCUAGGACUGCAACAUCCCAAAAAGAUUUAGCUAUCACUGAUGGAGCUUCUAUUUCUGGUUGGAGAAUUGCCGAGGUAUCAGUUGGAGUUUCCAUGGACAUCAACUCAACACAAUGAUCUUUUAGGACCUCAAGUUUCUCAGAGGGUUGUAAGUAGUCACAUAUAAAUGUACCAGCCAACCAAGGAAUAAAUACUCUUCGAGGAAAUGCAAGAUUGCAUGUUUUCCUGUUAUAAAGUGUGCAAUAGCAAAUGUGAUAAGGAUGGAGGAUGAAAAAUAUAUCAAUUUUCCAAAUUGCAGUUCAAAAAAUGAAAGAUGAAACCCAUUGGUUCUGACAAACAAGCUAACUGAAGAUGCAAAAAGAUUAGAGUUCUAAUUAAGGGGAGAAAGGGAUAUAGACAUAUAGUGAAUGGUAAGCUAUCAUAUGACGAAGCAUGUAAAGUGCUAUUAAUCUAAAAUUAUAUUAUUUAAAUACAGUCCUAAUCAUUUAAUCUUUCUCAUAAAUUGUAAAAUAGAAAUUAUAAUAAUGAAAAAAAAGGAAGAUAUAUAAUGGUUUAUAAUUCUUACUGCAGAAAUAUAUUCACUAGUUAAAAAUCACAUUACAUGCAAUGCACAUGUGAAAAUGGCUAACAUAAAAUAUCCCAAUGAUAUUUGAUACUUUCAUUUUCUACACCAUAAACACUAUAGAAACUACAUUUGACACACCUCAAUAAGGACGGGACAAGUUUGGAAACAGGUUUUUCAGGCAGUUUUUCAUGGCUUGCUUCCCCACCAUCAUCAUCUACCGGACCCACAUCUUCAUCUGCUUCAUCACAGAUGAUAUCCAGUCUGCUUUGUAAACUCCUGAUGAUAUCAUCCUGGAAACAGAAUACAUAAGAAAAGAGCAACCAUGAAUAAGGGGAAAUAGAGAAUUUAUACUUUGCUAGUCAUUGCAGAAAAUGUUCGAAUCCCACAUAUUUACUUCCAAAAUUUACAAUAUCCUUUCUUCUUCAACAGUUCAACAUUAAAUUCAACUAUAUAACUUUAAACUCUUGCGGAUAUUCCUUGUUGCCAUCAUACUUCCAUAUUUGUUGGCAGUCAGCAGCAUCUGCCAAUUGCUCCCUGGUGAACUGUACUAAAAUUUGAAACAGUUUUCAAACUUCAUCCAAUCAAUACUGCCUGAUUUCACCAAGAUCAAUGAAUCUGAAGAGUACAUUGUGCAAAAUAGGUACCAUAAUUUGAGUAAAAGUGAGACACACCCCUAAGGCACCUCCUAUACAUGGGUUAGACGUGUAUAGAAACUUAGGAAGAUAAAAAUGCCAAGAAUGCAAAUGUACAAUGAAUUGUACCAACAUGCUACACUUCACGAGUAGCUAGUACAAGUUUCAGAAUGCUGUUGAUAAAGACAAAGCCCAAGCAAAGCUUACAUAAACAAUUAAGGUGCAAGGACAACAAUCCUGUAAAAGCAUUUCCCUAAAUACUUAAAGCAAAGGUAUAAAAAUGAUAGUGCUAACAAAACUAAUAAACAAAAAAGAUAAAAUUAAAAUAUAUCGAAUACCUUUAUAUCAGCAACAGCCUGUGAUACUGGUUCUUUUGAAUUCAAGUAUGCAAAGGAGCACACAGACCCACUGAACAUAAGAACACCAACAACAUCCAUUUGACUGCAUGCUUCAGCCUGUGUAUUCUUCAUGAAUGGUAAAAGCUAUUCAACUUCAAUCAAACCCUCAGUAGUACAAGGUUCUUCAUUAACAACCUAGAACCAUAUAGACAAAAGGAAUAACUCUUCAAACAAAAUGUAAUACCAUAAAAAAAUGCUUUAAUAACUUUCUAUUCCAGAAAAGUCAAGUCAAAGUACGUUAAAAUUGUCCACUCCAGACCAACAAAAUGAGCUAUAACCUAUUGUAAACAUAGUAUAUAGAUUACAGACUAUUAGAAUAGAUCAAUUUCUGCUUUAGUGAAGUCCAUAUAUCAUUAAAUUCACAUGCCAGCAAGUUACAUUAAGUCAGGUGCACAUCUCAUGGUGCAGUGAUAGGCAAGGUAUCAAAUUCAUACAAGUCAAAAUAUACAAGUCAGCAAUCCAUACUGCAGUUUUUCAUUUUAGAUGGACAAAACUACAAUGAGAUGCCCAGCACACUUGAUCUACUGAAUGAAUGAAUGAAUGAAUGAAUGAAUGCCAAUCUAGUUUCUACAGUCUCAUUCCAAACUCAAUAAGGACAACUAUCAUACAGUGGUACAUAUAUAACUAUCAGAAGUUUAAAUAAAUAUCCAAAACAAGUUAGUUUUGCAACAACGUACUUUACUGAGAAAAGUUGUGAGAUAUAUUUGGUAGUUUAUAUUGCCAGAAAACUUUCACAAGCAAUGUAAGCAUGGCUACAUUUAGCAUAUGAAUACCUAUACUGUUUAAGCAAGGCUACAUAGUAUCAAGAUGUAUAUAGUUUUCCCAUAACAUCAAAAAGCAAACAGAAAAUGAAUUGGAAAUUGACAAUGUCAGAUUGCUUCUUACCAAAUUUCCAUCAAUUAAAGCAUUUGCACUUCUUAGCUCUUUUGCAUGAACUGAGAUUCCAUGACGCAGAAUUGAACUCAACGUUGAGGCAUUUGAUGCAUUUUCAUGACAUAUGGGAAAGCUAGGCAAAUAUUGGUUCAACUUUAGUGCUAGCACUGGUUUCCUCAUAUUCAUACAAUAAGUAUCACAAGAACUAAAAACAUUGGAGAGAAAUUGCAAUAUGCAACCAGAUUUUUGCAACAGAAUAGCCAGAUAUCAAACUCGACCUAUGAUAAUGAGACAUCAUUAUAAAGGCAUUUUAUCAUGUUAUGAGAAAUUUGAAGGGUCAAUCAAAAACAUUCUCAAGCUGUGAAGCAAUCAUAUGAAAUAUCAUGAUAAACUCAUUGAUCAUGUUAUAUGAAAUUUGUAGUGUCAGACAAAAGAUUCUCAAAUUGUAAUGCAAUCAUAUGUUCAUUACAUAUUGACAGAAUCAGAGGAUGAUCAUAUUUUCAUGCCAGAAUUUAGAUUUACAAAUUGGUUUUUUCAUUUUUUAUCAUCUUUGACAACCAUAAUAAAGAUCUAAUUCUCUCCAAAUCAGGUCAUGUACAUAGGAAUGCUUAAGCUUGUUUAUAUGCACACAAAUAUGGGCCUCUUUGAUGAAAAGCCUUUAAACAGGAUGAUCAGCCUUUUCCUUUUGAAAAAUGGGGCCUUGCGAAGUUACCUAGUUCAAGAUACAAAAUAUUUGAGGUACCUGAGUAGGCAGAAGACAUUUUUUCCAUGAAAAUAAAUCAUUUUUAAAUGCAAAGUAACAUUUCAGCACCAAAGUCUGUUGUCCUUUGGAUACACAACAACAAUUCAUAUACCGGAAAGCUGCGUCUGAUAAAAUCUGGUACAGUUAUGAGCAUAAAUUGUCAAAAGUGAGGGGGGGAGGGGGAGAGAGAGACUAUUGCUUAAUUAUAGAAAAGUACACACUGAUCAAUGGAUUUACCUGAGGUUGAAGUUAUAUGUGCACCUAAAUGUCCGAAGUGAACUUAAGACCCUUCCCAUUUUAAAAUCACAAGGCCGUAUGCUACUUGAUGUAAUAUUCGAAGACAGCACACAAUUUCUACAUGUCCACCUCCUGGGACUGUAAGAUAUAUGAAUAAGU
RNAcentral lists this unclassified non-coding RNA (4162 nucleotides) under Hevea brasiliensis (rubber tree). Lineage: Eukaryota; Viridiplantae; Streptophyta; Magnoliopsida; Malpighiales; Euphorbiaceae. The record is from RNAcentral.